Molecule: ribosomal RNA, 252 nt
Filed under: uncultured bacterium
Lineage: Bacteria
Description: partial 16S ribosomal RNA
Rfam family: Bacterial small subunit ribosomal RNA
Source: RNAcentral
UACGUAGGGUGCAAGCGUUAAUCGGAAUACUGGGCGUAAAGCGUGCGCAGGCGGUUUUGUAAGUCUGUCGUGAAAUCCCCGGGCUUAACCUGGGAACUGCAUUUGUGACUGCAUAGCUAGAGUACGGUAGAGGGGGAUGGAAUUCCGCGUGUAGCAGUGAAAUGCGUAGAUAUGCGGAGGAACACCGAUGGCGAAGGCAAUCCCCUGGACCUGUACUGACGCUCAUGCACGAAAGCGUGGGGAGCAAACAGG